Molecule: non-coding RNA, 262 nt
Organism: Biomphalaria pfeifferi
Lineage: Eukaryota; Metazoa; Mollusca; Gastropoda; Planorbidae
Source: the annotation of a GenBank genome assembly
UACUGGCUAACUGGGCUAUAUAAUCUCGCGGUUUGUGUUCUGUGUAGCUAAAGGUCACUCGUUUAGGUGUGUGUGAUCUUUAGUCCAGAUUACUAAUUGAGAUUUAUGUUCAAGUAACUCGGCACACUUGAAAAGGUGUGGCCUGUAGCCCAACCACGUGAUAAAGAUUUUUCUCCAAAUAAGCAAACUUUUUGUCCGGAAACCCGUGUAGAUGUUUGGCUUGAAGUAUUGUCCCCUCCCCCCCCCCCCCCCCCCCCCCCCA